UACGUAGGUGGCAAGCGUUGUCCGGAAUUACUGGGUGUAAAGGGAGCGUAGGCGGGAAUGCAAGUCAAGUGUUAAAUCUAUCGGCUCAACUGAUAGUCGCGCUUGAAACUGUAUUUCUUGAGUGAAGUAGAGGCAGGCGGAAUUCCUAGUGUAGCGGUGAAAUGCGUAGAUAUUAGGAGGAACACCAGUGGCGAAGGCGGCCUGCUGGGCUUUUACUGACGCUGAGGCUCGAAAGCGUGGGUAGCAAA
RNAcentral lists this ribosomal RNA (248 nucleotides) under uncultured bacterium. Its description in RNAcentral is "partial 16S ribosomal RNA". It matches the Rfam family "Bacterial small subunit ribosomal RNA", at positions 524 to 772 of the family's 1533-position model. The record is from RNAcentral.